Molecule: non-coding RNA, 462 nt
Organism: Heterocephalus glaber (naked mole-rat)
Lineage: Eukaryota; Metazoa; Chordata; Mammalia; Rodentia; Bathyergidae
Source: the annotation of a RefSeq genome assembly
AUGAAGAGGAUCUUGAGCUCUCUGCUGGGGCUUUUGUGCAUCCAUGUUUGCAGUGUGAGAGGGAUGCAGGUGGAGCAGAGUCCUCCAGCCCUCAUCCUCCAGGAGGGAGCCAAUUCCACUCUGUCGUGCAGUUUUUCUGCCUCAGUGACCACUGUGCAGUGGUUUCGCCAAGAUCCUGGGGGACUCCUCAGCAGCCUGUUCUACAUUCCUUCAGGGACAAAGCAGAAUGGAAGAUUAGAGGUCACGACAGUCCCUAAAGAACGCCACAGCUCAUUGUCCAUCUCCUCUUCUCAGCCCACAGACUCAGCCACUUAUUUCUGUGCUGCAGCCCACAGUGCUCCCCUGGCACCUGCAGCUGCUACACAAACCCUCAGCUGGGCUCAGCCCUGCGCCAGUCACAAGCACAUCAAGAGGCCACUGGAGCACCAUCUUCACAAUUUAGCAUUUUUUUUUAACCAAUAG